Molecule: ribosomal RNA, 381 nt
Filed under: Chitinophagaceae bacterium
Lineage: Bacteria; Pseudomonadati; Bacteroidota; Chitinophagia; Chitinophagales; Chitinophagaceae
Description: partial 23S ribosomal RNA
Rfam family: Bacterial large subunit ribosomal RNA
Source: RNAcentral
GUUCGUCACAUCCUGGGGCUGGAGAAGGUCCCAAGGGUUAGGCUGUUCGCCUAUUAAAGUGGCACGUGAACUGGGUUCAGAACGUCGCAAGACAGUUCGGUCCCUAUCUGUAGUGGGCGUCAGGAAAUUGAGAGGAUAUGACCUUAGUACGAGAGGACCGGGUCGUACGGACCUAUGGUGUACCAGUUGUACCGCCAGGUGCAGUGCUGGGUAGCUAUGUCCGGUCAGGAUAAGCGCUGAAAGCAUCUAAGCGCGAAACCUUCCUCAAGAUGAGUUUCCUUUUAAGGGCCGUCGAAGACUACGACGUUGAUAGGCUGCAGGUGUAAAGGUGGUAACAUCAAAGCCGAGCAGUACUAAUUGCCCGUACGCUUUAAUCUUUUU